UGGGGAAUAUUGCACAAUGGGCGCAAGCCUGAUGCAGCCAUGCCGCGUGUAUGAAGAAGGCCUUCGGGUUGUAAAGCACUUUCAGCGGGGAGGAAGGCGAUAAGGUUAAUAACCUUGUCGAUUGACGUUACCCGCAGAAGAAGCACCGGCUAACUCCGUGCCAGCAGCCGCGGUAAUACGGAGGGUGCAAGCGUUAAUCGGAAUUACUGGGCGUAAAGCGCACGCAGGCGGUUUGUUAAGUCAGAUGUGAAAUCCCCGGGCUCAACCUGGGAACUGCAUCUGAUACUGGCAAGCUUGAGUCUCGUAGAGGGGGGUAGAAUUCCAGGUGUAGCGGUGAAAUGCGUAGAGAUCUGGAGGAAUACCGGUGGCGAAGGCGGCCCCCUGGACGAAGACUGACGCUCAGGUGCGAAAGCGUGGGAGCAAACAGG
Molecule: ribosomal RNA, 428 nt
Filed under: Chloroflexota bacterium
Lineage: Bacteria; Bacillati; Chloroflexota
Description: Chloroflexi bacterium partial 16S ribosomal RNA
Rfam family: Bacterial small subunit ribosomal RNA
Source: RNAcentral